Molecule: long non-coding RNA, 200 nt
Filed under: Lathyrus oleraceus (garden pea)
Lineage: Eukaryota; Viridiplantae; Streptophyta; Magnoliopsida; Fabales; Fabaceae
Description: Pisum sativum (pea) long non-coding RNA (PSAT_LNC012892)
Source: RNAcentral
UUUCCUCCAGCCAUGAUUAUCAGAUGAAUACUUUGUUCGUUUGUUAGAUAAUUAAUUGAUAAUCCUGGAUAAUCUUCGAAGAAUCGUGUUCGUUCACUUUCCGAACAAAGUAUUUCGACCCUAUUUAUGCCUGGGUUCACGAAAUCUUUGUGGGGAUAAUUCUUGAAGAAAGAAUGUUUCUGGCAAAAGAAAGAUUCUGG